GUGGUACUCGAGCGGCGAACGGGUGAGUAACACGUGAGUAAUCUGCCCCUGGCUUUGGGAUAGCCACCGGAAACGGUGAUUAAUACCGGAUAUGACAACUUCUCGCAUGAGGGGUUGUGGAAAGUUUUUCGGCCAGGGAUGUGCUCGCGGCCUAUCAGCUUGAUGGUGAGGUAAUGGCUCACCAUGGCUUCGACGGGUAGCCGGCCUGAGAGGGUGACCGGCCACACUGGGACUGAGACACGGCCCAGACUCCUACGGGAGGCAGCAGUGGGGAAUAUUGGACAAUGGGCGGAAGCCUGAUCCAGCAACGCCGCGUGAGGGAUGACGGCCUUCGGGUUGUAAACCUCUUUCAGCAGGGACGAAGCGCAAGUGACGGUACCUGCAGAAGAAGCACCGGCCAACUACGUGCCAGCAGCCGCGGUAAUACGUAGGGUGCGAGCGUUGUCCGGAAUUAUUGGGCGUAAAGGGCUCGUAGGCGGUUUGUCGCGUCGGGAGUGAAAACCAGGUGCUUAACACCUGGCUUGCUUUCGAUACGGGCAGACUAGAGGUAUUCAGGGGAGAACGGAAUUCCUGGUGUAGCGGUGAAAUGCGCAGAUAUCAGGAGGAACACCGGUGGCGAAGGCGGUUCUCUGGGAAUGACCUGACGCUGAGGAGCGAAAGUGUGGGGGAGCGAACAGGAUUAGAUACCCUGGUAGUCCACACCGUAAACGUUGGGCG
This 717-nucleotide ribosomal RNA is filed under the name Nocardioides sp. CB 286536. RNAcentral describes it as "bacterial SSU rRNA". It matches the Rfam family "Bacterial small subunit ribosomal RNA", at positions 84 to 815 of the family's 1533-position model. Lineage: Bacteria; Bacillati; Actinomycetota; Actinomycetes; Propionibacteriales; Nocardioidaceae. The record is from RNAcentral.